GAUGAAUGCUGGCGGCGUGCUUAACACAUGCAAGUCGAGCGGAAAGGCCCUUCGGGGUACUCGAGCGGCGGACGGCUGAGUAACGCGUGGGAACAUGCCCCAAAGUGAGGAAUAACUGCCCGAAAGGGUGGCUAAUGCCGCAUAUGAUCCUCGGAUUAAAGGAUUUAUCCGAUUUGGGAGUGGCCUGCGUAUGAUUAGGUAGUUGGUGAGGUAAUGGCUCACCAAGCCGACGAUCAUUAGCUGGUCUGAGAGGAUGACCAGCCAGACUGGAACUGGGACACGGUCCAGACUCCUACGGGAGGCAGCAGUGAGGAAUAUUCCACAAUGGGCGAAAGCCUGAUGGAGCAACGCCGCGUGAAGGAUGAAGGCCCUCGGGUUGUAAACUUCUUUUAUAAGUGAAGAAUAUGACGGUAACUUAUGAAUAAGCACCGGCUAACUACGUGCCAGCAGCCGCCGUA
This 458-nucleotide ribosomal RNA is filed under the name uncultured bacterium. RNAcentral describes it as "partial 16S ribosomal RNA". It matches the Rfam family "Bacterial small subunit ribosomal RNA", at positions 28 to 522 of the family's 1533-position model. The record is from RNAcentral.